Molecule: long non-coding RNA, 600 nt
Organism: Physella acuta
Lineage: Eukaryota; Metazoa; Mollusca; Gastropoda; Physidae
Source: RefSeq, a predicted model, not a curated record
GAAGUGCAGAUAGACACUGAAAGAAUACUACCUGUCAGUUCAGUGUCAGCCCAUUUGAAGCUAACCAAGCCAAAUGGUAUUGUGAAAGCGGUAGAUCACACCGUCCCGCUAACAUUUAACACGACAGACGAAACAGUGCACCACCUGCGCCACGUCCAAAUUCUCGACACGGGGUUAGAGGUUGUGCAUCCUGGCAUCUACUUCACCUACAGUAGUCUGCUCUUCUUGCCGAACACCUCAAGCACCUGCGGUCAGUUACGAAUCAAGACAUGGGUCCACAAGUUAGUUCUAACAAGGGCCGAUAACUCCAGAGUAGACUUGCUCGAAUCUUACCACACUUGUUGCCAUGAUUGUCACGGCCAGGAGGAGACUUCGUACUUAGGUGGCGUGUUCUACUUCAAUGCCAGAGACCAUCUACAGGUUCAAGUUACUGACUACUGGGUAGCGUAUCUCAACAAGAACUACAGUUUUUAUGGACUCGCCAUGAUAUGGGCAUAACAAAAUUUGAGGAGGCAUACAAAAAAACUUGAGAACAGGGCAUGAUAAUUCUAAAUGCAUGGUGAAGCAGAAAGAAAGGGCAAAAUGAAGCUUGGCUAAGCA